Ictalurus punctatus (channel catfish) is the source of this 991-nucleotide long non-coding RNA. RefSeq lists it as uncharacterized. The record is from RefSeq and is a predicted model, not a curated record. The transcript has 3 exons. NCBI's taxonomy places the organism in Eukaryota, Metazoa, Chordata, Actinopteri, Siluriformes, Ictaluridae.
UCACAGAGAUAGUUCUGAACACGUUCUCCUACUGAGGCUUUGCGGCUAAUCGCAGCGGAGCUUAUUAGCGCCUGACAUUUUUAUCCAUGAGCCGAGGGCUAACGGGCGCCGCCCGCCUCGGCCCUGGGGCACCUCGGGACUCACCUGAAAUAAAUCCGAUACCUGAGCCGCAGCAAUCGAUUUCACGUCAACCGCAGAAGUUUUCAGGAUGUGCCGGUGGGGUUUGGGGUUCGGGAGCGUGGAGAGUAAGAUAGAGAGGACGAGGGAGGAAGAGAAAUCUUUGAGAAGGAGUGAGAGAAAUCUUAAUUAGAGUUAACCGUGGUCCACCGACAGGACUGGAGGAGGAAUUACACAUUUACGAACAUGGCGGGCACUCGUAAAUCAGCACACACACCCAACUCUGCCCAGUGGUGGCUGUCAGGCGCUGAUUUACUGCGAUUCACCGCUAAAACAUCCAUACAUGAGGGGAAAGUGUCACGUUCCAUUCGCUCGCUGGGAAUCGAGCUGGUAGGAAACCGAUGACAACAUCUGGAUGUGAUUUUCGGGGUGAAAUAUGAAAUGCAAAGCGUUGCAGAAGCACACAGGAUGAUGGAUUGUGAUUACGGGUUUGAGUGGCAACAAUAUUUGUGGUUACUUUUGGUCAGAGCGGUUUCUGAUGAGUAUGAAAUAAAGAUCGCUACAUGUCAGGAUAGCAUGAUAAAAUGUUAUAUUAAAACAUAUAAUCAGGGAUUAAACAGGGAACAAAUAUUCACUUUCAAUUUCAUGUUUUCAAAGAUAACGAUAUUAAAUCCAGUCUAAUUAGUAAUACAUACAUUGAGCAUACUAAUAACUAACAGUUAUCAUUAAGAGCUUAGUUAGUCAAUAACUAUUUACUAAUUACUGACUAUUACAAAUCCAAUGAACUAAUAAGGAGGUUUGUUUAUAUAAAGCGAAGUAAUGAUCGGUUAUUAAGCUAAUGAACUAAGCAUCAAUAUGAUAGUGUUUAAAACAU